This 945-nucleotide ribosomal RNA is filed under the name Lactiplantibacillus plantarum. Its description in RNAcentral is "bacterial SSU rRNA". It matches the Rfam family "Bacterial small subunit ribosomal RNA", at positions 39 to 873 of the family's 1533-position model. Lineage: Bacteria; Bacillati; Bacillota; Bacilli; Lactobacillales; Lactobacillaceae. The record is from RNAcentral.
GCGUCGUGCUAUACAUGCAGUCGUACGAGGUAGCCGAUAGGUUGUUGCUUGCUCAAGAUCUACAUGGUGAGUGAGGGGGGAACUGGUGAGUACGGGAGGGAAUCCCGCCCGGAUGCUGGGGAUAACACCUGGACAAAUAUGCUUUACCGCAUAACAACUUGGACCGCAUGGUCCGAGGUUGAUGAUGGCUUCGGAUAUCACUUUUGGAUGGUCCCGCGGCGUAUUAGCUAGAUGGUGGGGUAACGGCUCACCAUGGCAAUGAUACGUAUCCGACCUGAUAGGGUAAUCGGCCACAUUGGCACUGAUACACGCCCCAAACUAAUCCGGGAGGCCACAUUAAGGAAUCUUCCUGGAAGGAAGAAAUGCUGACGGAGCAACGACGCGUGAGUGAUCAAGGGUUUCGGCUCGAAAACUCUGUGGUUACAGAAGAAUCCAUGUGACCGAAAGUGAUCACGUAUUGACUGAAUUUAACCAGAAAGCCACGGAUAGGUAAGGGUCUUCAGCCACGUUAAUAUUUAAGUGGCAAGCCCUGUCCGGAUUUAUUGCCCCUAAAAUUACUUUGAGUUUUUUUUUUGGUCUGAUGCUCCCCCCUUCGGAUGGUUCAAGGAAUUGCUGCNGAAACUGAGAAACUAAACCGUCCAACACGUAAGUGUAACUCCUUGUGGAAUGGAGAAACGCGGANAUAUAUGCAGGAUGCCCACCGUACAUUGCAGCUGUCUGGUCUGUUACUGACCCUGAGCCCGCUUCUACGCUUAGGAUACUCCAUAAGAUACCCUGGUACUCCCCACCGCAAGGGAUUACUGUUACCUGUUGUAGGGUUACGGUUCCUCAGUGCCGAAGCUAUUGCUUUAUUGAUCCAACUGGUUUACACCGACUUAAGCAGACACUUGGACGUAUUGUUCGGCGACAAACCGGGCGGGACUGGCGCUUAAGUUUACGNGCUGA